This 469-nucleotide ribosomal RNA is filed under the name uncultured bacterium. RNAcentral describes it as "partial 16S ribosomal RNA". It matches the Rfam family "Bacterial small subunit ribosomal RNA", at positions 28 to 507 of the family's 1533-position model. The record is from RNAcentral.
GACGAACGCUGGCGGCGCGCUUAACACAUGCCAGUCGAACGGAAAGGCCCUGCUUGCAGGGUGCUCGAGUGGCGAACGGGUGAGUAACACGUGGGUGAUCUGCCCCUUACUUUGGGAUAAGCCUGGGAAACUGGGUCUAAUACUGGAUAGGACCAUGCUGUAGGUGGUGUGGUGGAAAGAUUAGUUUCGGUAAGGGAUGAGCUCGCGGCCUAUCAGCUUGUUGGUGGGGUAAUGGCCUACCAAGGCGUCGACGGGUAGCCGGCCUGAGAGGGUGGACGGCCACAUUGGGACUGAGAUACGGCCCAGACUCCUACGGGAGGCAGCAGUGGGGAAUAGUGCACAAUGGGCGCAAGCCUGAUGCAGCGACGCCGCGUGGGGGAUGACGGCCUUCGGGUUGUAAACUCCUUUCAGCCAUGACGAAGCCCUUGUGGUGACGGUAGUGGUAGAAGAAGCACCGGCUAACUACGUG